This is a non-coding RNA of Pelobates cultripes (western spadefoot toad), 220 nucleotides long. Lineage: Eukaryota; Metazoa; Chordata; Amphibia; Anura; Pelobatidae. The record is from the annotation of a GenBank genome assembly.
CACACACAUAGACCUACUGACAGACACACAGACCUACUGACAGACACACACAUAGACAUACUGACACACACCCAGACAGACAUACUGACACACACCUAGACAGACAUACUGGCAUACACCCAGACAGACAUACUGGCAUACACAGACACAUACUGACACACACACACAGACAUAGUGGCACACACAGACAGACAUAGUGGCACACCCAGGUAGACAUACU